Cyprinus carpio (common carp) is the source of this 653-nucleotide long non-coding RNA. RefSeq lists it as uncharacterized. NCBI's taxonomy places the organism in Eukaryota, Metazoa, Chordata, Actinopteri, Cypriniformes, Cyprinidae. The transcript is spliced from 3 exons. The record is from RefSeq and is a predicted model, not a curated record.
UCAAACCCCUCACACCUGAGAGAGCUGGAUCUGAGCUACAAUCACCCAGGACAAUCAGGAGUCCAGCUGCUCAACCAAAAACUGAAGGAUCCAAAGUAUAAACUGGAGAAACUCAAUUUGGACCAUGGAGGAGAUUUCAGGAUCACACCAGGACUGUGAAAAUGUGCAUGUGAUCUCACACUGGAUCCAAAAACAGCACACAAUCAACUCACUAUCUCUAAAGAAAACAAAACAACAUCAUAUGUGAAAGAGCAGCAGCCGUAUCCUGAUCAUCCAGAGAGAUUCAAGAGCCUUGAACAGGUUCUGUGUCAAGAGAGUCUGAUUGGACACUGUUACUGGGAGGCUGAAUUGAUCAUACAGGGUCAUGUAGCAGUGACUUAGAAGGAAAUCAACCGGAAGGGUGGGAUUGACUGUCGGUUUGGACUCAAUGAAAAGUCAUGGUGUCUUUACUUUUCUGAUACGAUUCAUACUGCCUGGCACAAUAAUUUGAGCACAAACAUUCCUCUAUCUUCACCCCCAUCUAAAAGAGUAGGAGUGUAUCUGGACUGGUCGGCUUGCAUUCCGUCCUUCUACAGUAUCUCCAAUGCACACACUAUUGCCCCCAUAUACACAUUCAACAGCACAUUCACUGAACCCCUCUAUGCUGGAUUUAG